This 468-nucleotide ribosomal RNA is filed under the name uncultured bacterium. Its description in RNAcentral is "partial 16S ribosomal RNA". It matches the Rfam family "Bacterial small subunit ribosomal RNA", at positions 28 to 507 of the family's 1533-position model. The record is from RNAcentral.
GACGAACGCUGGCGGCGUGCUUAACACAUGCAAGUCGAACGGAAAGGCCCUGCUUUUGCUGGGUUCUCGAGUGGCGAACGGGUGAGUAACACGUGAGUAACCUGCCCUUGACUUUGGGAUAACUUCAGGUAACUGGGGCUAAUACCGCAUAGGAUCUCCUGCUGCACGGUGGUGGUUGGAAAGAGUCGGCCGUGGGGGAUGGACUCGCGGGUUAUCGGCUUGUUGGUGGGGUAGGGGCUUACAAAGGGUUCGACGGGUAGCCGGCAUGAGAGGGUGACCGGCCACAAUGGGACUGAGAUACGGACCAGACUCCUAUGGGAGGCAACAGUGGGGAACCUUGCGCAGUGGGCGGACGCCUGAUGUAGCAGCGCCGCGUGCGGAAAGACGGCCUUCGAGUUGUAAACCGCUUUCGCCGGAGACGAAGCGUGAGUGACGGUAAUGGGUAAAGAAGCAACGGCUAACUACGUG